AGUCGAACGGCAGCACGGGAGCAAUCCUGGUGGCGAGUGGCGAACGGGUGAGUAAUACAUCGGAACGUGCCCAGUAGUGGGGGAUAGCCCGGCGAAAGCCGGAUUAAUACCGCAUACGACCUACGGGUGAAAGCGGGGGAUCGAAAGACCUCGCGCCAUUGGAGCGGCCGAUGUCGGAUUAGCUAGUUGGUGGGGUAAAAGCCUACCAAGGCUACGAUCCGUAGCUGGUCUGAGAGGACGACCAGCCACACUGGGACUGAGACACGGCCCAGACUCCUACGGGAGGCAGCAGUGGGGAAUUUUGGACAAUGGGCGCAAGCCUGAUCCAGCCAUGCCGCGUGCGGGAAGAAGGCCUUCGGGUUGUAAACCGCUUUUGUCAGGGAAGAAACGGUCUGGGCCAAUACCCCGGACUAAUGACGGUACCUGAAGAAUAAGCACCGGCUAACUACGUGCCAGCAGCCGCGGUAAUACGUAGGGUGCAAGCGUUAAUCGGAAUUACUGGGCGUAAAGCGUGCGCAGGCGGCUUUGCAAGACAGAUGUGAAAUCCCCGGGCUCAACCUGGGAACUGCAUUUGUGACUGCAAGGCUGGAGUGCGGCAGAGGGGGAUGGAAUUCCGCGUGUAGCAGUGAAAUGCGUAGAUAUGCGGAGGAACACCGAUGGCGAAGGCAAUCCCCUGGGCCUGCACUGACGCUCAUGCACGAAAGCGUGGGGAGCAAACAGGAUUAGAUA
Molecule: ribosomal RNA, 729 nt
Filed under: uncultured beta proteobacterium
Lineage: Bacteria; Pseudomonadati; Pseudomonadota; Betaproteobacteria
Description: bacterial SSU rRNA
Rfam family: Bacterial small subunit ribosomal RNA
Source: RNAcentral